Non-coding RNA from Cinara cedri, 313 nucleotides. The record is from the annotation of a GenBank genome assembly. Lineage: Eukaryota; Metazoa; Arthropoda; Insecta; Hemiptera; Aphididae.
UCAUCGUAAUGAUUUCCAUAUUGUUAGACUGCUCGUCGGUCCCAGUAUUAUAAUAUUAUCGUUAUUAGUUAUAAGCCAUGUGAGCGCGUAAUUAUUUCCUUGUUCGAUUCUAUUUACACAGUAAAUUUGCAUUGAUUUAGCCGAAAACUUGCGCGCGACCAGCACCGGACGAUAAUAAUACAGUAAUUUUCACAUCUCGAGUAUGCAGCGCACACCGUACACACAUUUGUAAGUAUCGCCCGUGACCCGUUCGCACGACUGCCACGAUUUGUGGUAUAGGUAGGUAUCUACGUUGAUAUAAUAGUUUCAAUCA